CCGCCGACGAGUUUUCGAAGAGCUUGCGCAUUCGGCGUCAUGACGCCCGGUUAACGUCAGCAACGACUCGGGGGGUCUUCUCUCAUAUCACCAUCGCGCCCAUUAGGAGAAAGUACAAAAUAAAAUAACAAUAACAAAAUAAAACAAAUAAAAACAAUCUCUCGGGGCAGACUUCUCCUUUAGACUGCAAAGGACAGGCCGCACACGUCUGAUAAGAUCCCAGAACACGGCAAGGACAGGAAGUGAGGUCACUGACUUCCGAGGAAGGGAACUUGCAGAGGGAGAUGGAGCGGGAGCGCGAGAAGAAGAAGGGAGUAGAUGCAGGACAGAGGCGCAGGACUGCAGAGUGCUGCUUUCAGACAGCUUUGGACUUGGCUGUGGGAUGGUUGUCACUCACAGGGCAGGGAGCCAAUCACAGGGGUCAGGUGUAAGCGGUGCGCCCUCCUUCGGCCAUCCUUCGGCGUGGUGAUGCCUCACGUUGGCACCGAGGGGGUUGGCAGCUACUUCCUUCGAGUUGUCCCUAUAACGUCAGAUCACGCGUCCCCCCCCCCCCCAACGUGUGCUAGCUGGGCUUCACACUUCUGUAUGCACUGCUACACGCAUGACCUGCUACAUAGAUAAAUACACUGAAAGGCCAACCUGUCACCAUGGAGAGGAGAGGAGAGGAGGAGCAUUGGACACAUCAAAGGAAAAAACGCCAGACACCAUCAGCGGGAAAUGAAGCAGCGAAGGCAAGCAGAGUGCUAGAGAGAGAGAAAGACGAGAACUUCCGCUGCGCUACAUGCUUCUUUCCUCGCCACCCUAUGGCUCCGCCCACUUCUUCAGAAAACCCACUUUUCUGCUUGGAAUAAAAGUCUUUCACCUAA
Molecule: long non-coding RNA, 866 nt
Organism: Electrophorus electricus (electric eel)
Lineage: Eukaryota; Metazoa; Chordata; Actinopteri; Gymnotiformes; Gymnotidae
Source: RefSeq, a predicted model, not a curated record